UAGUAUGAAAAGUUAUCGAUUACACAUGAGUAUUUUAAACAAUCACAAUAAAAGAUAAUGAAUGAAUAUGCUGAAUGCAGAGAGGUUGUUUAUUAGUUGACUAAAGAAAUGCAUAAUAAAUCUAUGGAAAAAGAAUGAUUCGUAACAAAAACAGCGUGCAAUGUUGAGCAAAUUGAAAAAGACACAAUUCGUUUAAUAAAACACACAAUCGUCAAUAGCA
Molecule: non-coding RNA, 220 nt
Organism: Schizosaccharomyces pombe (fission yeast)
Lineage: Eukaryota; Fungi; Ascomycota; Schizosaccharomycetes; Schizosaccharomycetales; Schizosaccharomycetaceae
Source: the annotation of a GenBank genome assembly